AUUGAACGCUGGCGGCAUGCUUUACACAUGCCAGUCGAACGGUAACAGGCCGCAAGGUGCUGACGAGUGGCGAACGGGUGAGUAAUGCAUCGGAACGUGCCCAGUCGUGGGGGAUAACUACUCGAAAGAGUAGCUAAUACCGCAUACGAUCUAUGGAUGAAAGCGGGGGACCGUAAGGCCUCGCGCGAUUGGAGCGGCCGAUGUCAGAUUAGGUAGUUGGUGGGGUAAAGGCUCACCAAGCCAACGAUCUGUAGCUGGUCUGAGAGGACGACCAGCCACACUGGGACUGAGACACGGCCCAGACUCCUACGGGAGGCAGCAGUGGGGAAUUUUGGACAAUGGGCGCAAGCCUGAUCCAGCAAUGCCGCGUGCAGGAAGAAGGCCUUCGGGUUGUAAACUGCUUUUGUACGGAACGAAACGGCUCUGGUUAAUACCCGGGGCUAAUGACGGUACCGUAAGAAUAAGCACCGGCUAACUACGCG
This 482-nucleotide ribosomal RNA is filed under the name uncultured bacterium. RNAcentral's name for it is "partial 16S ribosomal RNA". It matches the Rfam family "Bacterial small subunit ribosomal RNA", at positions 30 to 507 of the family's 1533-position model. The record is from RNAcentral.